AUUGAACGCUAGCGGGAUGCUUUACACAUGCAAGUCGAACGGCAGCGCGGACUUCGGUCUGGCGGCGAGUGGCGAACGGGUGAGUAAUGUAUCGGAACGUGCCCAGUAGCGGGGGAUAACUACGCGAAAGCGUAGCUAAUACCGCAUACGCCCUACGGGGGAAAGCAGGGGAUCGUAAGACCUUGCACUAUUGGAGCGGCCGAUAUCGGAUUAGCUAGUUGGUGAGGUAACGGCUCACCAAGGCGACGAUCCGUAGCUGGUUUGAGAGGACGACCAGCCACACUGGGACUGAGACACGGCCCAGACUCCUACGGGAGGCAGCAGUGGGGAAUUUUGGGCAAUGGGGGCAACCCUGAUCCAGCCAUCCCGCGUGAGCGAUGAAGGCCUUCGGGUUGUAAAGCACUUUUGGCAGGAAAGAAACGUCGCGGGCUAAUACCCCGUGGAACUGACGGUACCUGCAGAAUAAGCACCGGCUAACUACGUG
This 484-nucleotide ribosomal RNA is filed under the name uncultured bacterium. Its description in RNAcentral is "partial 16S ribosomal RNA". It matches the Rfam family "Bacterial small subunit ribosomal RNA", at positions 30 to 507 of the family's 1533-position model. The record is from RNAcentral.